RNAcentral lists this ribosomal RNA (200 nucleotides) under uncultured bacterium. RNAcentral describes it as "partial 16S ribosomal RNA". It matches the Rfam family "Bacterial small subunit ribosomal RNA", at positions 524 to 724 of the family's 1533-position model. The record is from RNAcentral.
GACAGAGGGUGCAAACGUUGUUCGGAAUUACUGGGCGUAAAGCGAGUGUAGGCGGUUUCCUAAGUCAGGUGUGAAAGCCCCGGGCUCAACCCGGGAAGUGCACUUGAAACUGGGAGCUAGAGUAUCGGAGAGGUUGGUGGAAUUCUCGGUGUAGAGGUGAAAUUCGUAGAUAUCGAGAGGAACACCGGUGGCGAAGGCGG